This 507-nucleotide ribosomal RNA is filed under the name Psammodynastes pictus. RNAcentral's name for it is "partial 16S ribosomal RNA". It matches the Rfam family "Bacterial large subunit ribosomal RNA", at positions 1852 to 2620 of the family's 2925-position model. Lineage: Eukaryota; Metazoa; Chordata; Lepidosauria; Squamata; Psammodynastidae. The record is from RNAcentral.
GCAACGCCUGCCCAGUGAACAAUUAAACGGCCGCGGUACCCUAACCGUGCAAAGGUAGCGUAAUCACCUGUCUAUUAAUUGUAGACCCGUAUGAAAGGCAAAAUGAAGGCCUAACUGUCUCUUAUAGUAAAUCAAUUAAACUGAUCUCCCAGUCCAAAAGCUGGAAUACUAACAUAAGACCAGAAGACCCUGUGAAGCUUAAACAAAACUAUUAAACCAAUUAAUAGCUACUUUCGGUUGGGGCGACCUUGGAAAAAAAAGGAACUUCCAAACACUAUGACCAUACCUCAUGCCUACUGGCCGACAGGCCAAAACUUCAGACCCAGCAAAGCUGACAAUUGAACCAAGUUACUCCAGGGAUAACAGCGCCAUCUUCUUCAAGAGCCCAUAUCAAAAAGAAGGUUUACGACCUCGAUGUUGGAUCAGGACAUCCUAGUGGUGCAGACGCUACUAAGGGUUCGUUUGUUCAACGAUUAACAGUCCUACGUGAUCUGAGUUCAGACCGGA